CCUACGGGAGGCAGCAGUGGGGAAUAUUGGACAAUGGGCGAAAGCCUGAUCCAGCAAUGCCGCGUGAGUGAUGAAGGCCUUCGGGUCGUAAAGCUCUUUUACCAGGGAUGAUAAUGACAGUACCUGGAGAAUAAGCUCCGGCUAACUCCGUGCCAGCAGCCGCGGUAAUACGGAGGGAGCUAGCGUUGUUCGGAAUUACUGGGCGUAAAGAGUACGUAGGCGGUUAUUCAAGUCAGAGGUGAAAGCCCGGGGCUCAACCCCGGAACUGCCUUUGAAACUAGAUAACUAGAGUCUUGGAGAGGUUAGUGGAAUUCCGAGUGUAGAGGUGAAAUUCGUAGAUAUUCGGAAGAACACCAGUGGCGAAGGCGACUAACUGGACAAGUACUGACGCUGAGGUACGAAAGCGUGGGGAGCAAACAGGAUUAGAUACCCUGGUAGUCCACGCCGUAAACGAUGAUAACUAGUUGUUCGGUCACUUGGUGACUGAGUGACGCAGCUAACGCAUUAAGUUAUCCGCCUGGGGAUACGGUCGCAAGAUUAAAACNCAAUGAAUUGACGNNGAGAGNGCGAGACGACGACGAGGAGAG
RNAcentral lists this ribosomal RNA (587 nucleotides) under uncultured bacterium. RNAcentral describes it as "bacterial SSU rRNA". It matches the Rfam family "Bacterial small subunit ribosomal RNA", at positions 338 to 945 of the family's 1533-position model. The record is from RNAcentral.